Long non-coding RNA from Ornithorhynchus anatinus (platypus), 1417 nucleotides. RefSeq lists it as uncharacterized. The transcript is spliced from 2 exons. NCBI's taxonomy places the organism in Eukaryota, Metazoa, Chordata, Mammalia, Monotremata, Ornithorhynchidae. The record is from RefSeq and is a predicted model, not a curated record.
CAAUCGCCCUUUAUUCCCCGCCCGGGGCUGGGCCCGGCUGCCAGCGGCUGCCGGCAAAGUCCCCCAGUCCCCGGGCCGAGAGAGAGAAGUUCCAGCCUGCCCAGCCCCCUCCCCGGCCCCCUCCCCACUCCCAUCCUCCCGCGCUCCCCGGGCGGGCUGCAGGGGGAUGACAAGGUUGGGGAGGCUCACGGGUAUCUCCUUCCCCCUCCCCCUUGCACCCGCACACCGACUAUCCGCCCGGAAUCUCCGGGCAGGAAUCUGCUCCGCCUAUGCACUCCGCCGGACGCCGCGGACUCCUGGGUCCGCUAGAAGGUCGCGGAAUCCAAAAAGGCCUGUGGCUUCCAUCGUCUCUCCCAGUCCAACCGUGGGCGGCCCUUCAGAGACGAUCCGGCCCGGUUUUUCGACUAGAACUUUUCGGCUGGCUUGGAGUUUGAAUUCAACUCCACUUCGUCUAUCCGCUUCCUCUUGAGCGUCAAAGCUCACCCUGGACCGGUGGGAUCCCCUGGUCUCUAAACCGUGAGAGUCCACAGCUUACUCUGGUGAGGCUGGGAGAGGGGUUGGGUGUUUUUCCUUCUCUUACAGAAAUGACGGACUUUCCUUUCUCCCCGGAGCUACGGGCAAGAGGAGAAGCAGCUGCAGGUCUGAAUCUCGCUUCCGCCGCGGGAAACGCACCUAUCAGACCUGGUCCCGGAGCGGAGUUAAACUGGACAUGGCGGGGACAGCCACUGGAGCAAGAACCGCACCUUCAGGUGUAUCCAGCGUCUUGCAUGGGAAGAAUUCAAAGCGUCCCAUGGAUAUUGUCACCUAUCUCUUCGGAUGGAUCCGGAUGGAUCCCUCAGGGAUGGGGAACGAUCACUCUCGGGUGGCUCUUGGUGUCUUCACUCCCUUAGAGCCUCAUCUCCCCAGCCCUUUUUCCUGCGACGUCCUUCUACCUCCUCCCGCUGUCUCCAGGACCCCGUCUCGGGAACCAGUCGCUGCUCCGUUUCCAAUCCCGGGCCGGGCCGGACCGGACCGGCUCCCUCCAAAAUCUCAGCGGAGAUCUGCCUAUGCCUAGAGUCGGAUCCCGGCCCUCCUAUCCGGCCUUGGUCAUCCCGACCUGGGCCGUUUUAGCUUCUACCGGGGAAGGGUCGUGGAGAGCUGAGGAAAGGACCUGCUUCGUUUAGCAAAAAGCAAAACCCCUCCGCUGAAAGGGUGAAGAAAGCGGGGGUGAGGGGAGGAUUAUCCUAAAUCACCCUGUUUACUCUCAACAAAUGCCCCCAACAAUUGUCGAAUCUUCACUUUGCUUCGCCCGUGUAGGCAGAGAAGCUUUCUGUAGCUUGAUGAACAAAAAAUUCGGUAGACCAUAAAAAAACCCCAACCCAGAGAUUGUACUCUAAAUUUAAACCCGGAGAAUAAAACCCACAAUUAGAGACUGGAA